RNAcentral lists this microRNA precursor (100 nucleotides) under Marmota monax (woodchuck). The record is from RNAcentral. Lineage: Eukaryota; Metazoa; Chordata; Mammalia; Rodentia; Sciuridae.
AGCGGAAUUGCUGGGUUGUAUGAUAAGUGAAUGUUCACUUUUUUAAGAAACUCCCUAACUCUUCCAAAGUGAUUGUGCCAUUUCCAUUGCCAGCAGCAGG